AUUGAACGCUGGCGGCGUGCCUAACACAUGCAAGUCGAGCGGUAGCAGGCGUAGCAAUACGUGCUGACGAGCGGCGAACGGGUGAGCAAUGCUUCGGAAUCUGCCCAAUGGUGGGGAAUAACCAGCCGAAAGGUUGGCUAAUACCGCAUACGCCCUACGGGGAAAGCAGGGGAGUCGCAAGACCUUGCGCCGAUGGAUGAGCCGAAGUCGGAUUAGCUAGUUGGUAGGGUAACGGCCUACCAAGGCGACGAUCCGUAGCUGGUCUGAGAGGACGACCAGCCACACUGGGACUGAGACACGGCCCAGACUCCUACGGGAGGCAGCAGUGGGGAAUAUUGGACAAUGGGCGAAAGCCUGAUCCAGCGACGCCGCGUGUGUGAAGAAGGCCUGCGGGUUGUAAAGCACUUUUAGUGGGGAUGAAAGGCCUAGAGCUAAUACCUCUGGGUCUUGACCUAACCCACAGAAAAAGCACCGGC
RNAcentral lists this ribosomal RNA (476 nucleotides) under uncultured bacterium. Its description in RNAcentral is "bacterial SSU rRNA". It matches the Rfam family "Bacterial small subunit ribosomal RNA", at positions 29 to 497 of the family's 1533-position model. The record is from RNAcentral.